GAUGAACGCUGGCGGCGUGCCUAAUACAUGCAAGUCGAGCGAACGGACGAGAAGCUUGCUUCUCUGAUGUUAGCGGCGGACGGGUGAGUAACACGUGGAUAACCUACCUAUAAGACUGGUAUAACUUCGGGAAACCGGAGCUAAUACCGGAUAAUAUUUUGAACCGCAUGGUUCAAAAGUGAAAGACGGUCUUGCUGUCACUUAUAGAUGGAUCCGCGCUGCAUUAGCUAGUUGGUAAGGUAACGGCUUACCAAGGCAACGAUGCAUAGCCGACCUGAGAGGGUGAUAGGCCACACUGGAGGUGAGACACGGUCAAGACGCCUAAGGGAGGCAGCAGUAGGGAAUCUGACGCAAUGGGCGAAAGCAUGACGGAGCAAGGCCGCGUGAGUGAUGAAGGUCUUCGGAUCGGAAAAAUCGGUUACGAGGGAAGAACAGAUGUGUAAGUAACUGUGCACAGCUUGACGGUAACUAAUCAGAAAGCCACGGCUAACUACGUG
This 497-nucleotide ribosomal RNA is filed under the name uncultured bacterium. Its description in RNAcentral is "partial 16S ribosomal RNA". It matches the Rfam family "Bacterial small subunit ribosomal RNA", at positions 28 to 507 of the family's 1533-position model. The record is from RNAcentral.